UGACGUUUAAAGGCCCCCGGCCCGCUGCAUUGGGAAGGUGAGCUUUCAGGGCGGCUGAAUGUGCAGGUGCUCAAAGGUUGCGUGGAGAACGAUUGAGAUGGCAUCUGCCGUAGACCUAUUGUGGCGAUAGGCAAAUUGCAGUGUGUCCAGGUUCUUCCUGAGGCAGGUGUUGAUUCUGGCUAUGCCCAACCUCUCAAAGCAUUUCAUCACCGCAGAUGUGAGUGCUCUUGGACGACAGUCGUUAAGGCAGCUCACGCAGCUCUUCUUGGGCACUGGAAUAAUUGUUGCCCUUUUGAAGCAGGUGGGAACUUCCAACUGUAGACUUCACAGAGAGGGGUGAACUUCUAGAACGGCCUCGAACCAUGUGCGCAGAUGAACCCAACUGCGCUGGAAGUGAAAUCGCCAUGUUAAAGCACAAGGCAGCUCUUAGGGGUGCCAUGGUUACCGUAGCAGUUAGCGUGACGCCAUUACAGUGCAUGGUGUCAGAGUUCAGAGCUCAAUCCCAGUGUCCUCUGCGAGGCGUCUCUGUAUGUCAUCCCGUGGAAUGUGUUGGGUUUCCCCUGGGCGCUCGGGUUUCCUCCCACAGUCCAAAGACACCAGGUAGGUUAAAUGGUCAUUGUAAAUUGUCCCAUAGUUAGGUUAAGGUUAAAUCGAGGUUGUCGGGGGUUGCUGUCCAGCAUGGUUCAAAGGGCCGGUAAGGCCUAAUCUACACUGUAUUGCUAAAUAAAUAAAUAAAUUAGA
Mobula hypostoma (lesser devil ray) is the source of this 741-nucleotide long non-coding RNA. RefSeq lists it as uncharacterized. The record is from RefSeq and is a predicted model, not a curated record. The transcript has 3 exons. NCBI's taxonomy places the organism in Eukaryota, Metazoa, Chordata, Chondrichthyes, Myliobatiformes, Myliobatidae.